Molecule: ribosomal RNA, 374 nt
Filed under: uncultured eukaryote
Lineage: Eukaryota
Description: partial 18S ribosomal RNA
Rfam family: Eukaryotic small subunit ribosomal RNA
Source: RNAcentral
CAAGAGCGUAUGUAAAAGUUGUUGCAGUUAAAAAGCUCGUAGUUGAACCUUGGGUUUGGUUGGCCGGUCCGCUUUUUUGCGAGUACUGGAUUCAACCGAGCCUUUCCUUCUGGCUAACCCGUCGUUUCGGCGGCUGGCGAACCAGGAUUUUUACUUUGAGAAAAUUAGAGUGUUCAAAGCAGGCAUUAGCUUGAAUAUAUUAGCAUGGAAUAAUAGAAUAGGACGUUAUGGUUCUAUUUUGUUGGUUUCUAGGACCAUCGUAAUGAUUAAUAGGGACGGUCGGGGGCAUCAGUAUUCAGUUGUCAGAGGUGAAAUUCUUGGAUUUACUGAAGACUAACUACUGCGAAAGCAUUUGCCAAGGACGUUUUCAUUAA